GACGAACGCUGGCGGCGUGCCUAAUACAUGCAAGUCGAACGCUUCUUUCCUCCCGAGUGCUUGCACUCAAUUGGAAAGAGGAGUGGCGGACGGGUGAGUAACACGUGGGUAACCUACCCAUCAGAGGGGGAUAACACUUGGAAACAGGUGCUAAUACCGCAUAACAGUUUAUGCCGCAUGGCAUAAGAGUGAAGGGCGCUUUCGGGUGUCGCUGAUGGAUGGGCCCGCGGUGCAUUAGCUAGUUGGUGAGGUAACGGCUCACCAAGGCCACGAUGCAUAGCCGACCUGAGAGGGUGAUCGGCCACACUGGGACUGAGACACGGCCCAGACUCCUACGGGAGGCAGCAGUAGGGAAUCUUCGGCAAUGGACGAAAGUCUGACCGAGCAACGCCGCGUGAGUGAAGAAGGUUUUCGGAUCGUAAAACUCUGUUGUUAGAGAAGAACAAGGACGUUAGUAACUGAACGUCCCCUGACGGUAUCUAACCAGAAAGCCACGGCUAACUACGUG
RNAcentral lists this ribosomal RNA (508 nucleotides) under uncultured bacterium. RNAcentral's name for it is "partial 16S ribosomal RNA". It matches the Rfam family "Bacterial small subunit ribosomal RNA", at positions 28 to 507 of the family's 1533-position model. The record is from RNAcentral.